Molecule: long non-coding RNA, 788 nt
Filed under: Homo sapiens (human)
Lineage: Eukaryota; Metazoa; Chordata; Mammalia; Primates; Hominidae
Description: HSALNT0314254
Source: RNAcentral
CCAUCUCUAAGGCUGAGUGAUUCUGUGACUUUGUGUUGGGAAGAUCAUAUUCCUGCUCUUUCUUUGCUGAAAAGGUUUUUGGUUUCCAAAAGUACUGAGGUUGGUGGAGAGGUACAAAACAACUGCAGGGAGUUCCUGUCUGCCUGAGGAGAUCAUCAUUCACCUCAAGAAUUACAGUGAGAAUAAGAGAAGAUGAAAUGAUACUGAAAAGCCGUUUAAAAAGUUGAAGAGUUAUGCGUAUAAAGCAAGAUGAUUGUUAAGUGAAUGCAUUAGAUAUAAAGGCCACUUGCUCCUGGACCCUCCUUGACUUCCAUCCCUCUAAGCCAAUCAAAAUGAAGUUGGAAGUGAUGGGGUUUGGUUGCCAUUGGCAACUGAUUGUCUACUUUGUCCAAGCUCUGGCAACCUGGGUUAGAUAAACUAUGAGAAAGUUCUCAUAGAGCAAGCAAUAUUGGCUUCUGCUGGUUUGAGUCAUGUUUACCUUGGCUUUAAGGGAGUCCCCAGAAUGCUGAAGACCAGACUGAGUUUCUUUACGUGAUGGCAGAAGUGUUGAAAGAGAACGAGAGCGGAAGCUGCAACACCUCUUGAAGUUGAGGCCUAGAAGUCACACAGCAUCUCUUCUGCUCUACUGGAUUGGUCAAAGCAAGUCAUGGGCUAGUUCAGACUGAGGGGGUAGCAAAAUAGACCCUACCUCUUGGUGGGAAAAAAGGCAGUCACAUUGUAAAGGAGUGGGCACAUAAGGAUAGAAGGACUUGAUUUGGCUAUCUUAUAAACAACCUACCACAGAAGGA